AACGCGAAGAACCUUACCUGGGUUUGACAUGGAUCGGGAGUGCUCAGAGAUGGGUGUGCCUCUUUUGGGGUCGGUUCACAGGUGGUGCAUGGCUGUCGUCAGCUCGUGUCGUGAGAUGUUAGGUUAAGUCCCGCAACGAGUGCAACCCUUGUUCACUGUUGCCAGCACGUUAUGGUGGGGACUCAGUGGAGACCGCCGGGGUCAACUCGGAGGAAGGUGGGGAUGACGUCAAGUCAUCAUGCCCCUUAUGUCCUGGGCUUCACGCAUGCUACAAUGGCUGGUACAGAGAGUGGCGAGCCUGUGAGGGUGAGCGAAUCUCGGAAAGCCGGUCUCAGUUCGGAUUGGGGUCUGCAACUCGACCUCAUGAAGUCGGAGUCGCUAGUAAUCGCAGAUCAGCACGA
Molecule: ribosomal RNA, 401 nt
Filed under: uncultured Propionibacterium sp.
Lineage: Bacteria; Bacillati; Actinomycetota; Actinomycetes; Propionibacteriales; Propionibacteriaceae
Description: bacterial SSU rRNA
Rfam family: Bacterial small subunit ribosomal RNA
Source: RNAcentral